This 670-nucleotide ribosomal RNA is filed under the name Pseudoxanthomonas sacheonensis. Its description in RNAcentral is "bacterial SSU rRNA". It matches the Rfam family "Bacterial small subunit ribosomal RNA", at positions 65 to 728 of the family's 1533-position model. Lineage: Bacteria; Pseudomonadati; Pseudomonadota; Gammaproteobacteria; Lysobacterales; Lysobacteraceae. The record is from RNAcentral.
AGCACAGUAAGAGCUUGCUCUUAUGGGUGGCGAGUGGCGGACGGGUGAGGAAUACAUCGGAAUCUACCUUUUCGUGGGGGAUAACGUAGGGAAACUUACGCUAAUACCGCAUAAGACCUUCGGGUGAAAGCCGGGGACCUUCGGGCCUGGCGCGGAUAGAUGAGCCGAUGUCGGAUUAGCUUGUUGGCGGGGUAAAAGCCCACCAAGGCGACGAUCCGUAGCUGGUCUGAGAGGAUGAUCAGCCACACUGGAACUGAGACACGGUCCAGACUCCUACGGGAGGCAGCAGUGGGGAAUAUUGGACAAUGGGCGCAAGCCUGAUCCAGCCAUACCGCGUGGGUGAAGAAGGCCUUCGGGUUGUAAAGCCCUUUUGUUGGGAAAGAAAUCCUGCCGGUUAAUAACUAGUAGGGAUGACGGUACCCAAAGAAUAAGCACCGGCUAACUUCGUGCCAGCAGCCGCGGUAAUACGAAGGGUGCAAGCGUUACUCGGAAUUACUGGGCGUAAAGCGUGCGUAGGUGGUUGUUUAAGUCUGCUGUGAAAGCCCUGGGCUCAACCUGGGAAUUGCAGUGGAUACUGGGCGACUAGAGUGUGGUAGAGGAUAGUGGAAUUUCCGGUGUAGCAGUGAAAUGCGUAGAGAUCGGAAGGAACAUCUGUGGCGAAGGCGACUAU